Molecule: ribosomal RNA, 326 nt
Filed under: uncultured eukaryote
Lineage: Eukaryota
Description: partial 18S ribosomal RNA
Rfam family: Eukaryotic small subunit ribosomal RNA
Source: RNAcentral
CCCUUAGAUGUUCUGGGCCGCACGCGCGCUACACUGAUGCAUUCAACAAGCCUAGCCUUGACCGAGAGGUCCGGGUAAUCUUUGAAACUGCAUCGUGAUGGGGCUAGAUUAUUGCAAUUAUUAAUCUUCAACGAGGAAUGCCUAGUAAGCGUGAUUCAUCAAAUCGCGUUGAUUACGUCCCUGCCCUUUGUACACACCGCCCUUCGCUCCUACCGAUUGAAUGUGUUGGUGAGGAGCUCGGAUUGGCAGCAGUUGGUGGUUCGCCACCGGCUAUUGCUGAGAAGUCCUCCAAACCGCCCCAUUUAGAGGAAGGAGAAGUCGUAACA